AUACUGCUACUACAAGUAUUAUUAAUAUUAAAAAGAUUUAAUCAAAAAAGAAAACAUGAAGGUGGUAAGUUUUUGUCUAGGGGUGAAGAACCUUUGAAAACAUCACCCCUUUCAAAUUUCCAAAAUAAUCAAGUUGUGAUUUCAAUUUUUGUCAGCAACCCCACUUUUUUGGGGAAGUUCACUGCAUCCAAGUAUCCAACCUUCCCUUUUUCUUAAACAAACCCACCAUUUUUACUCUUUCAUUUAUAUUUCUAUAAUUAUAUACUUUGUAUAUAUAUACAACUCUUUUAUGCUUUCAUUUUUCUCUUAUUCUUUUCAUUCUUUCUUCAAAUUUCUCAAAUACCCACUUCAUUAAUUCAUCAAAGAUUCAAACUUUAACCCCUUUUGUUUCUGGGGUUGAUUAAAUUGGUUCUUUUCUUCUUUGUUUGGGAUUUUGAUUUGGAUUUUUAUUGAAUUUAUCAAAUUUAAUUUUGGGAGGAAAAAAAAAGGGUUUCUGGGUUGUGAUGCUAUAGUUGCCUUGUUCAAUCUCAGGAAAUUCUGUUUCUACUUAAUCACAGAGGUACAUUUGCAAAAUCAUCAAUAUUUGAGUUCUUGGUUCAACAUUGAUAUCUUCUCAAAUUGAAGAGAAUCAGUCAGAUAUUCUAUUGAGUUCUUGAUCAAAAAUCUGGUUCACAUUUGCAAUUGAAAGUUCAGAACUAAAAUUUGGGAAUUUGAUCUGUUUGGUGUGUUCUCAGCAUUACAAAUUGGUUCUUGAUCAAAUCUGGCAUAUAUUGUGAGAAAUAAUUCAGGGUUUAGAUUAAAUGAUUAGAGAACUUGGAGAAACAGAUUGGAAAUUGCCAAAAAAAAUUGUUUGCAUUGCGAAAUCAUUGUACCGAAUCAGUAGUAAUGGAAGCUAGAGUUAGAAAAAAUGUAACUUCUACAAUGAGGGAAACAAGUAACGCAAACAUGAGGAACACAUAUAGUACUCCUAUGAAUGCAGGAAUGAUGGGGAGGGAUAGAGAUUAUCAUCGGUCGUUUUCGCAAGGGACCGGGAAGAAGGCAUUGCGAGGGGGCUAUUUCGGGUUAGAAUCAAUGUUUCUACUCGUCUGCCUCACCGCCUCGUUGUUGAUUCUUCCGUUGAUACUACCACCAUUGCCUCCACCGCCGUUCUUGCUACUACUAGUACCUAUUGGCAUUCUUGGACUGCUUAUUAUGAUCUUAGCAUUUAUGCCUUCUAAUAUUAAAAACUUGACUUAUAUGUAAAUUUAGAGUUGUGUUUAGCUUGAUCCUUGUUAGUCCUUGUCUCUAUAGUUUAACUUUGUAUCUCUUUUUCGCCUUGCUAAUCGUUGGAGGGAGGAGAGAUAGGUUGCAAAUUCAAUUUUCACUUGAGAAUUUGGUGUAAAGAUACAUGUAAGAAGAAUUUAUCAUAUAAAGGCCUUUCAUAUCAACCAUUUUAUAUGGUGAAUUACUGAAUGUGCUUAAUAUUAGUUGCAUUAUGA
This is a long non-coding RNA of Chenopodium quinoa (quinoa), 1478 nucleotides long. RefSeq lists it as uncharacterized. The record is from RefSeq and is a predicted model, not a curated record. The transcript has 2 exons. NCBI's taxonomy places the organism in Eukaryota, Viridiplantae, Streptophyta, Magnoliopsida, Caryophyllales, Amaranthaceae.